AAUUUUUCAUAGCUCUUUUAGAAUUUUUCUUACAGGGUUUCUGACCUUGCUUGGAAAUCCCAA
This is a small nuclear RNA of Mus spicilegus (steppe mouse), 63 nucleotides long. Its record names the gene U7. It matches the Rfam family "U7 small nuclear RNA". Rfam says of the family: Animal histone pre-mRNAs are spliced by a different mechanism than nuclear pre-mRNAs and self-splicing introns. Lineage: Eukaryota; Metazoa; Chordata; Mammalia; Rodentia; Muridae. The record is from Ensembl.